Molecule: ribosomal RNA, 581 nt
Filed under: uncultured bacterium
Lineage: Bacteria
Description: bacterial SSU rRNA
Rfam family: Bacterial small subunit ribosomal RNA
Source: RNAcentral
AGAGUUUGAUCAUGGCUCAGGAUGAACGCUGGCGGCGCACAUAAGACAUGCAAGUCGAACGGAAGUCGUUGUAAUGAAAUGGAAAUGGACAGAGAACUUGUUCGAAGAAAGUUGAAGUAGACUUACAACAAUGGCUUUAGUGGCGGACUGGUGAGUAACGCGUAAGGAACCUGCCUUUUAGAGGGGAAUAACAAUGAGAAAUCAUUGCUAAUACCGCAUAUGCCGAGAGAAUCACAUGGUACAAUCGGGAAAGGAGCAAUCCGCUAAAAGAUGGCCUUGCGUCUGAUUAGAUAGUUGGUGGGGUAACGGCCUACCAAGUCGACGAUCAGUAGCCGGACUGAGAGGUUGAACGGCCACAUUGGGACUGAGAUACGGCCCAGACUCCUACGGGAGGCAGCAGUCGGGAAUAUUGCGCAAUGGAGGAAACUCUGACGCAGUGACGCCGCGUAUAGGAAGAAGGUUUUCGGAUUGUAAACUAUUGUCGUUAGGGAAGAGAAAGGACAGUACCUAAGGAGGAAGCUCCGGCUAACUACGUGCCAGCAGCCGCGGUAAUACGUAGGGAGCGAGCGUUAUCCGGAAUU